UUUCCGUAGGUGAACCUGCGGAAGGAUCAUUAUCGUACAAUAUGUGAGGGGCAUUCGAGGGCUGUAGCUGACCCAAAAGGCGUGCCCGCCCGAGUGUGUCCUUUUGCAUAAUAAUCCAUCUCACCCUUUGUGCAUCACCGCGUGGGCACCCUUCGGGAUCAUCUCGGUGGUGGGCUCGCGUUUUCACACAAACCCCCCUUUUAAAAGUGUAGAAUGACCACAUUUAUGCAAUCAAUACAACUUUCAACAACGGAUCUCUUGGCUCUC
RNAcentral lists this unclassified non-coding RNA (267 nucleotides) under plant metagenome. RNAcentral describes it as "partial contains small subunit ribosomal RNA, internal transcribed spacer 1, and 5.8S ribosomal RNA". The record is from RNAcentral.